Molecule: ribosomal RNA, 210 nt
Filed under: Staphylococcus aureus
Lineage: Bacteria; Bacillati; Bacillota; Bacilli; Caryophanales; Staphylococcaceae
Description: partial 23S ribosomal RNA
Rfam family: Bacterial large subunit ribosomal RNA
Source: RNAcentral
GUGUACUAGAUAAUCGUGCCAACGGCAUAGCUGGGUAGCUAUGUGUGGACGGGAUAAGUGCUGAAAGCAUCUAAGCAUGAAGCCCCCCCUCAAGAUGAGAUUUCCCAACUUCGGUUAUAAGAUCCCUCAAAGAUGAUGAGGUUAAUAGGUUCGAGGUGGAAGCAUGGUGACAUGUGGAGCUGACGAAUACUAAUCGAUCGAAGACUUAAU